RNAcentral lists this ribosomal RNA (229 nucleotides) under uncultured bacterium. Its description in RNAcentral is "partial 16S ribosomal RNA". It matches the Rfam family "Bacterial small subunit ribosomal RNA", at positions 568 to 796 of the family's 1533-position model. The record is from RNAcentral.
UGCGUAGGCGGAUUAAUUAGUCAGUGGUGAAAGCCUGCAGCUUAACUGUAGAAUUGCCAUUGAAACUGUUAGUCUUGAGUUCAGUUGAGGUGGGCGGAAUGUGUCAUGUAGCGGUGAAAUGCUUAGAUAUGACACAGAACACCGAUUGCGAAGGCAGCUCGCUAAACUGACACUGACGCUGAGGCACGAAAGCGUGGGGAGCGAACAGGAUUAGAUACCCUGGUAGUCC